RNAcentral lists this ribosomal RNA (219 nucleotides) under uncultured bacterium. Its description in RNAcentral is "partial 16S ribosomal RNA". It matches the Rfam family "Bacterial small subunit ribosomal RNA", at positions 355 to 566 of the family's 1533-position model. The record is from RNAcentral.
UGAGGAAUUUUGCGCAAUGGCCGCAAGGCUGACGCAGCAACGCCGCGUGGGUGAUGAAGGCCUUCGGGUCGUAAAGCCCUGUCAGGUGGGAAGAAAGGCUUGGAGAAGCAACGCUUUGAGUUUGACGGUACCACCAGAGGAAGCACCGGCUAACUCCGUGCCAGCAGCCGCGGUAAUACGGAGGGUGCGAGCGUUAUUCGGAAUUACUGGGCGUAAAGC